ACUUGGUCAUAUGGAAGUGGGUUAUCAGAACUUAUUAACAUUAGUGUCACUAAAGUUGGUAUACAGCCCCCUCGCUGCUAAAUUUGACUGGCUUUUU
Molecule: unclassified non-coding RNA, 97 nt
Organism: Cercocebus atys (sooty mangabey)
Lineage: Eukaryota; Metazoa; Chordata; Mammalia; Primates; Cercopithecidae
Rfam family: Y RNA
About the family: Y RNAs are components of the Ro ribonucleoprotein particle (Ro RNP), in association with Ro60 and La proteins. The Y RNAs and Ro60 and La proteins are well conserved, but the function of the Ro RNP is not known.
Source: Ensembl